GUAGGUAACCUGCCCAUGUGCCCGGGAUAACUUCUGGAAACGGAUGCUAAAACCGGAUAGGUAGCAGACAAGCAUUUGACUGCUAUUAAAGUGGCUGAGGCCAUGAACAUGGAUGGACCUGCGGUGCAUUAGCUAGUUGGUGAGGUAACGGCCCACCAAGGCGACGAUGCAUAGCCGGCCUGAGAGGGCGGACGGCCACAUUGGGACUGAGACACGGCCCAAACUCCUACGGGAGGCAGCAUG
This 243-nucleotide ribosomal RNA is filed under the name uncultured bacterium. RNAcentral describes it as "partial 16S ribosomal RNA". It matches the Rfam family "Bacterial small subunit ribosomal RNA", at positions 117 to 353 of the family's 1533-position model. The record is from RNAcentral.